GCACGUAGUUAGCCGGUGCUUAUUCUUACGGUACCGUCAUUAGCAAACUGUAUUAGAGCUCACCGUUUCGUUCCGUACAAAAGCAGUUUACAACCCGAAGGCCUUCAUCCUGCACGCGGCAUUGCUGGAUCAGGCUUGCGCUCAUUGUCCAAAAUUCCCCA
Molecule: ribosomal RNA, 161 nt
Filed under: uncultured bacterium
Lineage: Bacteria
Description: partial 16S ribosomal RNA
Source: RNAcentral